Molecule: ribosomal RNA, 591 nt
Filed under: uncultured bacterium
Lineage: Bacteria
Description: partial 16S ribosomal RNA
Rfam family: Bacterial small subunit ribosomal RNA
Source: RNAcentral
UGGGGAAUAUUGGACAAUGGGCGCAAGCCUGAUCCAGCAAUGCCGCGUGUGUGAAGAAGGCCUUCGGGUUGUAAAGCACUUUUAUCAGGAGCGAAACGCUGUCGGCUAAUACCCGGCGGAACUGACGGUACCUGAGGAAUAAGCACCGGCUAACUUCGUGCCAGCAGCCGCGGUAAUACGAAGGGUGCAAGCGUUAAUCGGAAUUACUGGGCGUAAAGCGUGCGUAGGCGGUUUCUUAAGUCUGCUGUGAAAUCCCCGGGCUCAACCUGGGAAUGGCAGUGGAUACUGGGAGGCUAGAGUGUGUCAGAGGGUGGUGGAAUUCCCGGUGUAGCGGUGAAAUGCGUAGAGAUCGGGAGGAACAUCAGUGGCGAAGGCGGCCACCUGGGACAACACUGACGCUGAGGCACGAAAGCGUGGGGAGCAAACAGGAUUAGAUACCCUGGUAGUCCACGCCCUAAAAGCGAUGCGAACUGGAUGUUGGUCUCGACUCGGAGAUCAGUGUCGAAGCUAACGCGUUAAGUUCGCCGCCUGGGGAGUACGGUCGCAAGACUGAAACUCAAAUGAAUUGACGGGGUCAUGAGCUGUUUCCUG